UACGGAGGGUGCAAGCGUUAUCCGGAUUCACUGGGUUUAAAGGGUGUGUAGGCGGAUCAUUAAGUCCGUGGUGAAAUCUCCGAGCUCAACUCGGAAACUGCCAUGGAUACUAUUGAUCUUGAAUCUUGUUGAGGUGGGCGGAAUACAUCAUGUAGCGGUGAAAUGCUUAGAUAUGAUGUAGAACACCGAUUGCGAAGGCAGCUCACUAAGCAAGUAUUGACGCUGAGGCACGAAAGCGUGGGGAUCAAACAGG
Molecule: ribosomal RNA, 253 nt
Filed under: uncultured bacterium
Lineage: Bacteria
Description: partial 16S ribosomal RNA
Rfam family: Bacterial small subunit ribosomal RNA
Source: RNAcentral